GGGCAUGAUGACAUCAGUACAAUAACAGGAAUUCCUCAUUCUGAAUUAUACUGUCGAUUUGUAAAUUUAGUUUCAGCCUUGUCUGACC
Molecule: small nucleolar RNA, 88 nt
Organism: Blumeria graminis f. sp. tritici 96224
Lineage: Eukaryota; Fungi; Ascomycota; Leotiomycetes; Helotiales; Erysiphaceae
Rfam family: A. fumigatus snoRNA Afu_455
Source: Rfam